Molecule: long non-coding RNA, 291 nt
Filed under: Mytilus galloprovincialis (Mediterranean mussel)
Lineage: Eukaryota; Metazoa; Mollusca; Bivalvia; Mytilida; Mytilidae
Source: RNAcentral
GGGGGUCAUUUAACAAACAUUACAAAACAACAAUAUUGCACUGUUCAAAUUUAGCUCAUUAAUAUAUCUGAGAAUAACAUACACAUUUAAACAAUUAUUAUUUCUGUAACUUCCCUGUAAAUCUAUGAAUAAAGGGUCAUCCUUACAUCAUACAUCUAGAUUUGCUCUGUAAACUGUGAUCAUAGCUUUAAAUUUCCAAUUCUUUCCAUUUUUUGUAUUUAUCAAAGACAUUGAAAUAAGCAACAAUCAAAGUUUUACAAAUACAUUUUACACAUGACUUCUAUAGAAAAC